Long non-coding RNA from Rhinopithecus roxellana (golden snub-nosed monkey), 728 nucleotides. RefSeq lists it as uncharacterized. The transcript is spliced from 3 exons. The record is from RefSeq and is a predicted model, not a curated record. NCBI's taxonomy places the organism in Eukaryota, Metazoa, Chordata, Mammalia, Primates, Cercopithecidae.
GAAGCAGAGGAGAGAGGAAGACAUAGAGAGAAACUGAGUCUAAGAGCCAAAAGUGAGCUGGAGGACCACAGCGGGAGAGGGAGACAGCAGGCAGACGGAGACAUUGGAAGCCAUCGGACGCAUCCAACACACCCACCUGACAAAUGGAAAGAUGAGCCCCAGAGAGAACAGGGACUUGCCCAAGAUCUCACAGGAAAACCCGAGACUCACGUCUGUCCAGCUGCUCUGCAAAGCUUGCAGACGCUCCCUCCAUCCUGACCUGGGGGGAAAACUGGACAGUCACGCACAGGCGGCCAUGUGAUGAUGAAGGCACAGUUUGGAGUCACACGUCUACAACACCAGGAACGAAUGCCAAAGAAACUGGCAGCCACCAGAGUUUGGAAGAUGCAAGGAAGGAUCCUCUCCUAGAGCCUUGAGAGAUAGCAGGGCCUGGCUGACCCCUGAAUUUUGGACUUCUGGCCUUUAGAACUGUGAGAGAAUAAAUUUCUGUUGUGUUGAGCCACCCAGUACUUUGUGACAGCAGCCCGGGAAACUGACCUGAUAGACACUGGCCCCAGUCAUCGCCCUCUGCGCCAUCACCACACCUCCCCUCUGCGAAUCAACCACGACCACAGGACACCUCCUUCUGGAAUCUCUCUGUGCCCACUCACUCCCCAGAUGAGCACUGCCUCUUUCCCUGGCAACUCCCCGGACUGUGUUACCCCCUCCUCUGGCAUGGCCUGGACCCA